RNAcentral lists this ribosomal RNA (236 nucleotides) under uncultured bacterium. RNAcentral describes it as "partial 16S ribosomal RNA". It matches the Rfam family "Bacterial small subunit ribosomal RNA", at positions 527 to 762 of the family's 1533-position model. The record is from RNAcentral.
GUAGGAGGCAAGCGUUAUUCGGAUUUAUUGGGCGUAAAGGGUCCGUAGGCGGUUCGAAAAGUCGGAUGUGAAAUCCUACAGCUUAACUGUAGAACUGCAUUCGAAACUUUCGAACUUGAGUAUGAGAGGGGUAAAGGGAAUUCCCGGUGUAAGGGUGAAAUCUGCAGAGAUCGGGAGGAACACCAGUCGCGAAGGCGCUUUACUGGCUCAUUACUGACGCUCAGGGACGAAAGCUA